CAUUUAAAAUAAGUUGAAAAUUGGAAUAAGCCGUAAAAACAGCAGUCUAAAGUAGCAAAUCUUCAAGGACUUCUUCAAAGCUAAUGGUUGAAAUUCACACCCCAAUUUUAGCCUCCAAAGCUGGCGCCGCCCUCCCUUCACUCAAUGUCCACUCACCUUUUGCAAACCUGCAAAACCAAUUCACAAUUUAAAAAAAAACAGCUUAUCCAAAUAAGCACUUUAAAAACUAGAAAAUAAAGGAUGGGACAAACAGAUUAGCUCUUUACACAACAAACCAAGAAGAACGUUCAAAGAUCACAUUCCAAUAUCCAAACCUACAACCUUAAAUCCAUAAGAUUAAGAAUAUCCAAACCUACAACCUUAAAUCCAUAAGAUUAAUCAUCCCACAAAAUCUGGAGAAAGGAUAGCUUGGCAAGUUAUCUUAUAACCAACAAUGAGCAUAUAUAAACAAGAAAAAAUUAAUUAACAAGACACGUUCUAAAAAACUCAGAGAAAUUGCUAAAAAUAUUUCUCUCUGUUAAAACCACAAACAAAAGAACAAGGCAUAGGUUUUUCGACAGAUUCAACAGGAUAACCAAAUAUUUCUCAACUCAAUCAAAGAUUUUUUCUUUGUUAAACCUAAACCAAAUAGAAGAAACUUUUUUUUCCAGAGAACAAUCAAACAAUAAUCCAUAAAAAGCUCUAAACCCUAAGACAUCAAGCCAAUCAACAACAACACUCAAAGCAAAAAUAAAAGAAAGCAAAAAAUAGAAGAAGAUGGAGAACUUAUCUUAAACCGUGGGGAGCUUCGCCGGAGUUGGAUUUCAAACAAGUAAUUUUUUCCUCCUUCGUUAAAGUCUUUGCAUCAUCAUCAUUUACGCCUCUUCAUACUGGAUGAGAUCUUUCUUUUAAUUUCUUCAAAACUUUGUUGUAGAACUUCAGAUCUUGAAUCUAGGGUUAGGUUUUGGGUGUUUAAGUUUUUGGUUAAGGUUAAGAACGAAUCAAGCUACGUUUGGCCAUAUGAGAAGGAGAGUUUAGGGUUAGUUUUG
RNAcentral lists this long non-coding RNA (1028 nucleotides) under Lathyrus oleraceus (garden pea). Its description in RNAcentral is "Pisum sativum (pea) long non-coding RNA (PSAT_LNC034524)". Lineage: Eukaryota; Viridiplantae; Streptophyta; Magnoliopsida; Fabales; Fabaceae. The record is from RNAcentral.